GGAAUGUAUGCUGAUGUGGAAGCGCAAAUCGUGAGUUACAUGAGAGAUGGAUUCGAAUCCCUUUGUUUGUGUGUUCUGUGUAUGUGCGUAAUCUCUGUAAAAGUUUGUGUCAGUCUGUCGUCGUUCGUCUGAGCUCUGUGCGCGCACUUUGUGUAUUGGGCUGCGUGCGUGCGGAUGCGUGUGUGUGUACGUGCGGUUGUGUGCGCGCUCGGUGUGUGUGCGUUUAUGUGCACACCCUGUGUGGGUGCGGGCGUGUGAGGAGGAAGACGGCAUGGAUCAGAGAAUGUUCAAGGAAGGAGGGGGCCCGGUGGGCUCCAAGGCGUGGAAUGGCGCUAUACCGGCGAGGGUGGGGGCCAGCAGGACGUGCGGGCUUGGCCAGAUUGUGACGUCAACAUUGAUACAUGUUGAAGAGAAGUGAGAAAAGAGAA
Syngnathus acus (greater pipefish) is the source of this 428-nucleotide long non-coding RNA. RefSeq lists it as uncharacterized. The transcript has 3 exons. Lineage: Eukaryota; Metazoa; Chordata; Actinopteri; Syngnathiformes; Syngnathidae. The record is from RefSeq and is a predicted model, not a curated record.